GUUCCCGUAGUUCAACGGAAAGAAUAGAAGUUUGCGGAACUUCUGAUAGCAGUUCGAUUCUGCUCGGGAACA
Molecule: transfer RNA, 72 nt
Filed under: Candidatus Falkowiibacteriota bacterium
Lineage: Bacteria; Candidatus Falkowiibacteriota
Description: tRNA-Arg
Rfam family: tRNA
About the family: Transfer RNA (tRNA) molecules are approximately 80 nucleotides in length. Their secondary structure includes four short double-helical elements and three loops (D, anti-codon, and T loops).
Source: RNAcentral